RNAcentral lists this unclassified non-coding RNA (345 nucleotides) under soil metagenome. RNAcentral describes it as "partial contains 5.8S ribosomal RNA, internal transcribed spacer 2, and large subunit ribosomal RNA". The stretch from base 1 to 119 matches the Rfam family "5.8S ribosomal RNA", at positions 35 to 154 of the family's 154-position model. The record is from RNAcentral.
GAUGAAGAACGCAGCGAAAUGCGAUACGUAAUGUGAAUUGCAGAUUCAGUGAAUCAUCGAGUCUUUGAACGCACAUUGCGCCCCCUGGUAUUCCGGGGGGCAUGCCUGUCCGAGCGUCAUUGCUGCCCUCAAGCACGGCUUGUGUGUUGGGCCCCGUCCUCCGAUCCCGGGGGACGGGCCCGAAAGGCAGCGGCGGCACCGCGUCCGGUCCUCGAGCGUAUGGGGCUUUGUCACCCGCUCUGUAGGCCCGGCCGGCGCUUGCCGAUCAACCCAAAUUUUUAUCCAGGUUGACCUCGGAUCAGGUAGGGAUACCCGCUGAACUUAAGCAUAUCAAUAAGCGGAGGA